AGCAGCAGGCCGUAGCCUUGCCAUUUGCAACCACACUUGGAUGCUCUUCUGAGCCUGCUCCCUCCAGGACAGAACGGGGAGUGUCACCAGGAUCCAAAUGGCUACAGGAACAGACUCUGAGAAACCAUGUAAAUGUCCCUAAUGGAUGCACGGCUGGCAAGCUGGUGGGGUGAGGGCAGUUUCCAGUGCAUCAUCUCCAGUCUCGCGGAGCCACACACACAUGGUGUUGGGCAGAGAUGGACUUCCACUUGACCCUGACCACUGACAUCUGAUCUUUUGCAUCUGUGAGAGCAUGUGCUUAACACUUGUCAGCCGCACUUGCUUGAAGGAAGGGAAGUGGGGACAGGAGGAGAUAAAGACGACACCAUUCCAUAAACAGGCCUCUGCAUCUUCUUGCCAACCUUCCCUCUUCCCGGAGGCCCCCUGGGACUUCCGUCAAAACCUACCCAAGCGUGUGCCCAGCUCCCAGCUCCGGGCCAGGCCGCCAGUGCCGUGAUGAGCCAGAACCGGUCUCUGUGCACGGCCCGCAAAGACCCCGCCUGGGAGCCCUCUGGGCUUGUCGCGAGGCCCACGCUCACGGUCUCUUUCCAACCUCUCCUUGAGAGCUGGGGACACAACCUUUUGAGUGGCAUGUACGGAUUCUUUUCUGUGCUGGAGACAAUCCACGCACCUGUCACAGUUGCAAAGCAGCUUCCCCACAACGUUCUAUACCUGAACUAUGGCAAAGGUCACACGACUCUACACGAUUAUGACAGAGAGUCACCCCACAGUAUACUCAGAAUGGGUGAAUUUUAUGGGAUGCAAACUAUACCUCAAUAAAGCCGUCUCAAGAAAAAGUCAGCGUCCACCUCACCUGGAUGUUUCUGUUCAGCGCUGGACCUGAAGUGGGGGCCUGUGUUGUCUCUACAUGUGGACAACCUCUUGGCCCCUGUGGUUCAGAGGCUGGAACAGAAACUCUGCCGAGGGGGAGGCUGGAGCCAGGGUUCCAGUGUGAGGAGGAACCUGGUGAAGGGGCUUCCAGGGGACAGGUUUCCCGCCAGCAGCAGGAAGAGAGGACACUGACAGGGAAAAGAAGGGGCACCCAG
Neofelis nebulosa (Clouded leopard) is the source of this 1085-nucleotide long non-coding RNA. RefSeq lists it as uncharacterized. The transcript has 3 exons. The record is from RefSeq and is a predicted model, not a curated record. NCBI's taxonomy places the organism in Eukaryota, Metazoa, Chordata, Mammalia, Carnivora, Felidae.